CAGCCGCCACGGUAAUACGUAGGGUGCAAGCGUUAAUCGGAAUUACUGGGCGUAAAGCGUGCGCAGGCGGUUAUAUAAGACAGAUGUGAAAUCCCCGGGCUCAACCUGGGAACUGCAUUUGUGACUGUAUAGCUAGAGUACGGCAGAGGGGGAUGGAAUUCCGCGUGUAGCAGUGAAAUGCGUAGAUAUGCGGAGGAACACCGAUGGCGAAGGCAAUCCCCUGGGCCUGUACUGACGCUCAUGCACGAAAGCGUGGGGAGCAAACAGGAUUAGAUACCCGGUAGUCCCUGUCUCUUAUACA
RNAcentral lists this ribosomal RNA (301 nucleotides) under uncultured bacterium. RNAcentral describes it as "partial 16S ribosomal RNA". It matches the Rfam family "Bacterial small subunit ribosomal RNA", at positions 509 to 808 of the family's 1533-position model. The record is from RNAcentral.